RNAcentral lists this ribosomal RNA (292 nucleotides) under uncultured bacterium. Its description in RNAcentral is "partial 16S ribosomal RNA". It matches the Rfam family "Bacterial small subunit ribosomal RNA", at positions 505 to 796 of the family's 1533-position model. The record is from RNAcentral.
GUGCCAGCCGCCGCGGUAAUACGUAGGGUGCGAGCGUUAAUCGGAAUUACUGGGCGUAAAGCGUGCGCAGGCGGUUGUGUAAGUCAGAUGUGAAAUCCCCGGGCUCAACCUGGGAACUGCAUUUGAGACUGCACGGCUAGAGUGUAGCAGAGGGGGGUAGAAUUCCACGUGUAGCAGUGAAAUGCGUAGAGAUGUGGAGGAAUACCGAUGGCGAAGGCAGCCCCCUGGGUUACUACUGACGCUCAUGCACGAAAGCGUGGGGAGCAAACAGGAUUAGAAACCCCUGUAGUCC